This 482-nucleotide ribosomal RNA is filed under the name Pseudomonas sp. CL4.57. RNAcentral's name for it is "bacterial SSU rRNA". It matches the Rfam family "Bacterial small subunit ribosomal RNA", at positions 17 to 492 of the family's 1533-position model. The record is from RNAcentral. Lineage: Bacteria; Pseudomonadati; Pseudomonadota; Gammaproteobacteria; Pseudomonadales; Pseudomonadaceae.
CCCUGGCUCAGAUUGAACGCUGGCGGCAGGCCUAACACAUGCAAGUCGAGCGGCAGCACGGGUACUUGUACCUGGUGGCGAGCGGCGGACGGGUGAGUAAUGCCUAGGAAUCUGCCUGGUAGUGGGGGAUAACGCUCGGAAACGGACGCUAAUACCGCAUACGUCCUACGGGAGAAAGCAGGGGACCUUCGGGCCUUGCGCUAUCAGAUGAGCCUAGGUCGGAUUAGCUAGUUGGUGAGGUAAUGGCUCACCAAGGCGACGAUCCGUAACUGGUCUGAGAGGAUGAUCAGUCACACUGGAACUGAGACACGGUCCAGACUCCUACGGGAGGCAGCAGUGGGGAAUAUUGGACAAUGGGCGAAAGCCUGAUCCAGCCAUGCCGCGUGUGUGAAGAAGGUCUUCGGAUUGUAAAGCACUUUAAGUUGGGAGGAAGGGCAUUUACCUAAUACGUAAGUGUUUUGACGUUACCGACAGAAUAAGCA